Long non-coding RNA from Fukomys damarensis (Damara mole-rat), 549 nucleotides. RefSeq lists it as uncharacterized. The record is from RefSeq and is a predicted model, not a curated record. NCBI's taxonomy places the organism in Eukaryota, Metazoa, Chordata, Mammalia, Rodentia, Bathyergidae. The transcript has 2 exons.
AUUAGGGGUGCCCGUUGGGGUUUGUGAUCUGGGUUUCCUAUGGUCCUUAAAUGUCGAUUUGUUUCUUUCAUGUGCUCAUAUAAGACCUCGAGGUCACUGAGCUUCCCUCAAACUGGAAUCUUGAGCUCUCUCCCUUCCAGAAAAAGGGGUUUAGAGUUACCAUCACUUGGAGUUUAGGGUAAGAAUUACUAACACCCAGACAGACAGGGGUCACAGUUCUCGAUUCUUUUAGUGCCAAGGUCUUGGGUCGUUGAGCUUUAAAAACAUAAAUCUGACGUUGCCAUUCAUUAGAGAACAGGAUCAGAGGUCAUAGUCACUUGCAAACGGGGAAUCUAGGAUAAUUGUCUCCUAAGAGAACAAAAAUAAGAUCACUGUACCACCACCACCACCGUAAAAAGGGGAUCUGUGUUUACGCUCCUUUAGAGCAUGGGGAUUUGAACGGUAUAUUUUUUACAGGUCGGGAUUUGGGGUUACUGUGCCUCCAACCAACAGAGCCAGGUUUGAAACAUAAGACCUGACAUCAUUACCAACCCAAACAUCUAGAGCUGU